GCUCAAAAUUUAAGGAGUAAAAGGGGAAAAAAAUAGUAUUCUUUUGUUGGGUUUAUUCUGAACCAGCUGCUUCUCUCCAGGCUUCUUCAGCUUUGCUUCAUUGGUGUUUGUGUUCUUCUUCUUGUUCUUGUUCUUCUUCUUCUGGGUUUUUGAUCUUCUUUUUGUGACAAUUGGGUUCUUCUCCUUGGAUCCUCUUCUUCAGGUUCAUACAAUUAGCCUGGCCAGAGUGAUUUUCCGACAUUUUUGUAUUCUUCUUCUUUUUGGAGGCAAAAGAUGGAGAACUAGAACUAGAAGUUCUCUGUUUUGGUGUAUAUUACUUACUUGGCAAAAAGAUGGCUAACAAAUUGGCAAAUGCUGAGAACAAUAGCCAAGGGAACAAUGAGGAUUCACUAGAUGGUUUGGGGGAGGCCAAAGAAUUGUCAGGUGAGGGUGAUUUUAAUAUUACCGAGUCAAAAUCGAAAAGGUUAAUCAGAUGGGCAAAUCCUCAGCAAGACUUGAUUUUAAGUGUUAAGUAUUCACAUAUUGGUAAAAGUGGCACUAAGGACCCUUUCUUCAAAAAUGCUCAAGGUUUAGAUUAUAGGAUUCCCAAACGUAUGGUUAGUGUAGACGAGAAGUAUCUCCGUCGUUGCUUGGAAUUAAUUCAUUUUAGAGCUUCGAGAACAGCUCGAGGCAACGUGUCUGUGAAUGUGAGCUCUGAGAAGAGGAAUGGAGAGGUGUUUGAUUCGCCUAGCUUGGUGUUUGAGUGUCCCACGGUAGCCGAGACUGGGAGUGUAGUCAUAAGCCCUGCAGGGGCAGGGCAGUGGAUUUUGGGUUCAGUCAUGGGCAGCAAGAGUAUGAAGAAUAUCUUGAACAGCCCUUUGCUUCAACAUUAUGGAGCAUUAGAUAGCAAUGCAAACUUGACAAGGAUAAAUUCUAAUGAUGUCAAUGAUUCAAUUUGCUUUGAUUUCAUGGAAUCUCCUAGUGCUUUAAGUCUCUCUUCGACGUUGAAGCUAGACAUGGGCACACCAAUCAGGGAAAGGCACAAAUAUGGAAUUGAUAUCGGGCACAAAAGGCUUCUUUCUGUGUCGAGCACGAACUCCCUAUUUUCGGAUCUAAUUUGUUCUUCGGCUUCUACCACUAUUAAUCAGGGGAUGCUCCAAUGUACAUGGAAGGAUGGAAAUCCUCAUUUUGUUUUCUCCACAGAUGACCAGAAGGACGUCUAUGUAGCGAAUUUAUGGAAAGUUGAGUCGAAGGAGGAAAAGGCUUUAGACUAUGUAUACUUGUUUCAUUCAGGAAAGAGUGGCCAUAAGGACCAUGAGAUUUGUGAUGGUCAUUCUCGCCUUGUUGGUAAGAUGAAGGUGUCCAAUUCUUUCACACUCUGCCCAAACGAUUCGAAGAUCUUGGAGACUGAGUUUGUUUUGUUUAGUGGUAGUGAAAGUUAUGUAACAGAUAUGCCGACUUCAAGCCAUCAACUGAGGAAGAGUAGAGGUUUAUCAAGGAAAGUGGCGGAAGUAUUUAGGACUAGCCAUUCUGCCAAGCAUAAAACCAUCUCGAAGUUUAGUGGGCACCACACAAUACUGGAAGAAAGUUGCAUUCCAGAGACAUGCAUAGAUACAUGUGACAAUCUCGACUCGGCUGGGGAACUGACUUUGUUAGACGAUCAUCCUCCUCCAAAUCUUGAAGUGGCUGCGAUUAUCGUGAAAGACCAUGUCCCUGACACUCAAAAGCAGGAAGAUGGUGGUUGGGGCUUGAAGUUUCUCAAGAAAGUUGGGGUAAAAAAAUCCACUAAAUCUGCAGAGGCCUCUCUACCUGUCAACUGUCAUCGAAGUAAUGGUGAUUGUUCUAUGAGUAUGGAUAUUCUAAUCCCGGCAGGUCUACAUGGUGGGCCGAGAACCAGAAAUGGUGGUCCUUCCAGUCUCAUAGAGAGAUGGAAAUCUGGUGGGCAUUGUGACUGUGGUGGUUGGGACAUGGGUUGUCCUCUCACAGUGCUUAAACCCAGAUCAAGCAACGAUGAAGACUUGCCCCAUAUCCAAGAAGAGUGCAAGUCAUUCGAUUUAAUUACACAGGGUUCACAGAAUGGCGUUCCGACAUUGAGGAUUGUGAAUGUGCAGGAUGGUUUGUAUUUUAUUCAUUUUCAACGAACUAUGUCCGUUCUGCAGUCUUUCUCGAUCGCAGUAGCGAUAAUCCAUACACGGAGUCCCUCUCUGCGGCCCAAAGAUGGAAAUGAAUUGAAAUAGCAAGAUCAAGAAAAUUGAUCAAAUUGAUGAUCCAUGGUUCUUCCAAGUCCUUGACUCUAAAGUGCCGAUAUGAGGAUCUUUUACGUGAGCAACUGCACAUGGAGAAAAAGAAAAGAUUUUGUCCUACAAUGUGCCGAUACAUGCAUAAAUCAGGAAAUUCAAAGGGAUGGUUAGACUUAGGAUCUAUCUAAGGCAGUCUCCCGUUUUCGUCUUGGCCAACCUACGUGUACCUGACUGAGAAGUUAGACAUGCUUGCUUUAUUCACCACGAACUUUUACGCACUUAUCUUCUUACAUGAUGCGAACAAAACCAUUCCUCCAACAGGCGAGUUGCAAAGUCGAUCAUAUAGAAUAGAGAAGAGUACUUUUACACGAACGUUGGCAAAAGCAACCUCAGUCGUCAGUGUUGAAGAGCAAUGUUACUCCCAGGCAAUCCCAAAAACCAAAACAAAGCUGCCAUCUGGUCUGCGGCCGAUACCUAUGGCAGUCACCAUCUCAGCUGCUUGUUUUCCCUGUGAUGUUGCCAUCUUUGGUGGCACAAAUAAUUCGACUUAUUUACAUCCAGAUCAUGAAUGUUUUGCAUCAAUGUUAUGCAAGUGGACAAUGCUGCUAUAUAUAAGGAGUUACACCAUUAUCUUAGAUGCUAAUCUCAAUUUUGAAAAAUUUGAGGAGGAAAGACGGACCAUGUGGAAAACUGGAUUUUACAUUUUGUAAUCGUCUGAAGUCAUCUGUUUGAGUCCCAGUUUUUGGAUGUCAUUAUGCGUAUAUUUUUGCUUUUGUUGUUUUCCCAAUCUGA
This is an RNA transcript of Morus notabilis, 3011 nucleotides long. RefSeq lists it as uncharacterized. NCBI's taxonomy places the organism in Eukaryota, Viridiplantae, Streptophyta, Magnoliopsida, Rosales, Moraceae. The record is from RefSeq and is a predicted model, not a curated record. The transcript is spliced from 6 exons.